CCAGUACUUCUCAUUCCAGCCUGAGUCCUCACUGGUCAAAACACAAUGGGUUUCCCAAAGUCUGCUAACAUCGCCUUUGAACCAAAAACCUGCAGUGCCUCUGGAGCCAAACAGAAGAUAUUUUGCUACGCCUACAGUUUCCUUGAGGAAAUGAACUGCUGAACCCUCUCCUUUUCACCCACAACUAACCCUUACGUGAUGAAAUGACAAUGCUGAGGCUAAUUGAUAUAGACUGAGAAAACAUCAUUUCACUAAGCAAGGGCAGUGAUUUCAGCAAGCUGUGACAUUUGGGAGCAGACAGACUAGCCUGUCCUUUCUUUACUAGCAGUAGAGAUGCCCUGUUAUGCUUAAUAGGCAACUGUGGCAAGUAGCUAAAGUCGACCAAAAUAGUAAGGAAAGCCCCAACUGUUAGGGCAUCUUGGAAGUAUGAAGAAACAUGGAGUUUUGGUGAUAAGAUGCAUGGAAAAGGCAUUGGAGACAGGGAAAAUAUCUCCUUGGAAGAAAUUAAUGUCCCAAGCAGCUUUUAGCCAGAGAAAGAACAAUUUAUGUAUCUGAAACUCUGUACCAACAGGACCUUGCAGUACCUACCCCAUUGCUCACAGCAGUACUGUUUUAAGGUAUUACCUAGGUGGAGAAUCCUUACUGCCCUAUUUUUAGCACUGGAAAUAUAAAAGAUGAUGCGUUUUGAAGGACCGCUCUUCUGGCUAGAUGCCAAUCCCACAUGAUACAGAUUUUCAGUCAUUUCAGUCACCACCAAGAGAUCAAAACAUGACGUCUUGAAGAGCCAAACAUUGGACAGCUAACAUCAGAGGGUUUAUGGCCAUCAGACCAGUUCUGACAGUUCAAGGAAGAACCCCACAUUUUGUAUAUACAAAGGACAAACCUUCCACUGUCCUCAGGAUGUACCUGCAUUGCACAGGUAAGUGC
This is a long non-coding RNA of Apus apus (common swift), 927 nucleotides long. RefSeq lists it as uncharacterized. The transcript is spliced from 3 exons. Lineage: Eukaryota; Metazoa; Chordata; Aves; Apodiformes; Apodidae. The record is from RefSeq and is a predicted model, not a curated record.